RNAcentral lists this non-coding RNA (30 nucleotides) under Rattus norvegicus (Norway rat). The record is from RNAcentral. Lineage: Eukaryota; Metazoa; Chordata; Mammalia; Rodentia; Muridae.
UGUGAAGGGUUUUGAACAGGAAAACAUGAC